This 327-nucleotide ribosomal RNA is filed under the name uncultured eukaryote. RNAcentral describes it as "partial 18S ribosomal RNA". It matches the Rfam family "Eukaryotic small subunit ribosomal RNA", at positions 1470 to 1796 of the family's 1831-position model. The record is from RNAcentral.
CCCUUAGAUGUUCUGGGCCGCACGCGCGCUACACUGACGAAUGCAACGAGCUUAUAACCUUGGCCGAAAGGUCUGGGUAAUCUCCAAAUUUCGUCGUGAUGGGGAUAGAUUAUUGCAAUUAUUAAUCUUCAACGAGGAAUGCCUAGUAAGCGCAAGUCAUCAGCUUGCGUUGAUUACGUCCCUGCCCUUUGUACACACCGCCCGUCGCUCCUACCGAUUGAAUGGUCCGGUGAAGCGCUCGGACCGCGGCCUCUUGACGGUUCGCUGUCGAUUGGCUGUGGGAAGUUCGUUAAACCUUAACAUUUAGAGGAAGGAGAAGUCGUAACA